RNAcentral lists this small nuclear RNA (188 nucleotides) under Bemisia tabaci. RNAcentral describes it as "U2 spliceosomal RNA". It matches the Rfam family "U2 spliceosomal RNA". From Rfam's summary of the family: U2 is a small nuclear RNA (snRNA) component of the spliceosome (involved in pre-mRNA splicing). Complementary binding between U2 snRNA (in an area lying towards the 5' end but 3' to hairpin I) and the branchpoint sequence (BPS) of the intron results the bulging out of an unpaired adenosine, on the BPS, which initiates a nucleophilic attack at the intronic 5' splice site, thus starting the first of two transesterification reactions that mediate splicing. Lineage: Eukaryota; Metazoa; Arthropoda; Insecta; Hemiptera; Aleyrodidae. The record is from RNAcentral.
AUCGCUUCUCGGCCUAAUGGCUAAGAUCAAAGUGUAGUAUCUGUUCUUAUCAGCUUAAUAUCUGAUACGACUCGCACUGUGAGUCCAGUAUAUUAAACUUAUUUUUGGAAACAGGUGAGAUGUUAGGGCUCCACUCUUGCCACGGAUCGGCCCGGUAUUGCAGUACCGCCGGGAUCGGUCCAACAACC